UGCAUAAUCCAAAAGCGGAGGAAAAGAAACUAACAUAGGGCAUUCCCCUAGUAACUGCGAGUGAAGAGGGAAAAGCUAAAAUUUAAAAUCUGGCAGCUUCGCUGUCCGAGUUGUAAUUUAGAGAAGUGUUGCCCGCGCUGGACCGUGUACAAGUCUCCUGGAAUGGAGCGUCAUAGAGGGUGAGAAUCCCGUCUUUGACACGGACUCCCAGUGCAUUGUGGUACGCUCUCAAAGAGUCGUGUUGUUUGGGAAUGCAGCACUAAAUGGGUGGUAAAUUCCAUCUAAAGCUAAAUAUUGGCGAGAGACCGAUAGCAAACAAGUACCGUGAGGGAAAGAUGAAAAGAACUUUGGAAAGAGAGUUAAACAGUACGUGAAAUUGUUGAAAGGGAAACGCUUAAAGUCCAGUCGCGUCGGUUGGGAAUCAGUCUCGCUCUCUUGCUUGACGUACUUCCCAGCUGACGGGUCAGCAUCAGUUUUGAUCGUUGGAUAAAGGUUGGAGGAAUGUGGCACCUUCGGGUGUGUUAUAGCCUCUGAUUGUAUACAACGGUUGGGACUGAGGAACUCAGCACGCCGUAAAGGCCGGGUACUUGUACCACGUACGUGCUUAGGAUGCUGGCAUAACGCCUUUAAUCGACCCGUCUUGAACCACGGACCGCA
Molecule: ribosomal RNA, 657 nt
Filed under: Flammulina velutipes
Lineage: Eukaryota; Fungi; Basidiomycota; Agaricomycetes; Agaricales; Physalacriaceae
Description: partial large subunit ribosomal RNA
Rfam family: Eukaryotic large subunit ribosomal RNA
Source: RNAcentral